CCUAAAUACUAAUACCAGAUCGAUAGUGCACAAGUACCGUGAGGGAAAGGUGAAAAGAACUGAGGUGAUCAGAGUGAAAUAGAACCUGAAACCAUUUGCUUACAAUCAUUCAGAGCCCUAUGUAGCAAUACAGGGUGAUGGACUGCCUUUUGCAUAAUGAGCCUGCGAGUUGUGGUGUCUGGCAAGGUUAAGCAAACGCGAAGCCGUAGCGAAAGCGAGUCUGAAUAGGGCGCUUAGUCAGAUGCUGCAGACCCGAAACGAAGUGAUCUAUCCAUGAGCAAGUUGAAGCUAGUGUAAGAACUAGUGGAGGACUGAACCCAUAGGCGUUGAAAAGCCCCGGGAUGACUUGUGGAUAGGGGUGAAAGGCCAAUCAAACUUCGUGAUAGCUGGUUCUCUCCGAAAUAUAUUUAGGUAUAGCGUUGUGUCGUAAUAUAAGGGGGUAGAGCACUGAAUGGGCUAGGGCAUACACCAAUGUACCAAACCCUAUCAAACUCCGAAUACCUUAUAUGUAAUCACAGCAGUCAGGCGGCGAGUGAUAAAAUCCGUCGUCAAGAGGGAAACAACCCAGACUACCAGCUAAGGUCCCUAAAUCUUACUUAAGUGGAAAACGAUGUGAAGUUACUUAAACAACCAGGAGGUUGGCUUAGAAGCAGCCAUCCUUUAAAGAAAGCGUAAUAGCUCACUGGUCUAGUGAUUUUGCGCGGAAAAUAUAACGGGGCUAAAGUAAGUACCGAAGCUGUAGACUUAGUUUAC
This 753-nucleotide ribosomal RNA is filed under the name Campylobacter coli. RNAcentral's name for it is "partial 23S ribosomal RNA". It matches the Rfam family "Bacterial large subunit ribosomal RNA", at positions 465 to 1216 of the family's 2925-position model. The record is from RNAcentral. Lineage: Bacteria; Pseudomonadati; Campylobacterota; Epsilonproteobacteria; Campylobacterales; Campylobacteraceae.